Molecule: long non-coding RNA, 444 nt
Organism: Mugil cephalus (flathead mullet)
Lineage: Eukaryota; Metazoa; Chordata; Actinopteri; Mugiliformes; Mugilidae
Exons: 6
Source: RefSeq, a predicted model, not a curated record
GACCAUUAACAGUGUCUCCAAGUCUGACGAAGGCUUCUACAAGUGCCAAGUCUCUGGUGUCGGUACAUCACCAGGAAGCUGGUUGGUUGUCAGAGGUCGUCAUGGUGACUCCAGCUCCUUUUAUUCCCUCUACCCACUGUGGAUUACUAUAACCCUUCUCUCAGUGGUUCUGCUGUUGCUGCUACUCAAGUGUCUUCAUAUCAGAAGAGUUUCAUCAACAGCAGCUUCACAUUCGACUGAAAACAAUCAAACCGAGACGGCAGACGCUGAUAAUUCAGGCCUCUGCUUAAAGUCAAACCACAGCAGAAAACCACAAAGAGAACAAGGUGAAGAUGAGUCCUCGUCACAAGCAGUUUACUCCACUAUAGCCAUAGCCCCUGUGGACCCAAGGACAUCCAGAGACUGAACAAAGCAGGAAGUCAUCUACUCCACUGUGAACAUGGU